AGUGAACGCUGGCGGUAGGCCUAACACAUGCAAGUCGAACGGCAGCCCAGUAAGAGCUUGCUCUUACGGGUGGCGAGUGGCGGACGGGUGAGGAAUACAUCGGAAUCUACUUUUUCGUGGGGGAUAACGUAGGGAAACUUACGCUAAUACCGCAUACGACCUACGGGUGAAAGCAGGGGAUCUUCGGACCUUGCGCGAUUGAAUGAGCCGAUGUCGGAUUAGCUAGUUGGCGGGGUAAAGGCCCACCAAGGCGACGAUCCGUAGCUGGUCUGAGAGGAUGAUCACCCACACUGGAACUGAGACACGGUCCAGACUCCUACGGGAGGGAGCAGUGGGGAAUAUUGGACAAUGGGCGCAAGCCUGAUCCAGCCAUACCGCGUGGAUGAAGAAGGCCUUCGGGUUGUAAAGCCCUUUUGUUGGGAAAGAAAAGCAGCAGGUUAAUACCCCGCUGUUCUGACGGUACCCAAAGAAUAAGCACCGGCUAACUUCGUG
This 492-nucleotide ribosomal RNA is filed under the name uncultured bacterium. RNAcentral describes it as "partial 16S ribosomal RNA". It matches the Rfam family "Bacterial small subunit ribosomal RNA", at positions 29 to 507 of the family's 1533-position model. The record is from RNAcentral.